CUCAGGAUGAACGCUAGCGGCAGGCUUAACACAUGCAAGUCGAGGGGUAUAGUUCUUCGGAGCUAGAGACCGGCGCACGGGUGCGUAACGCGUAUGCAAUCUACCUUUUACAGAGGGAUAGCCCAGAGAAAUUUGGAUUAAUACCUCAUAGUAUUUUCGAAUCGCAUGGUUUGAUUAUUAAAGUUCCAACGGUAAAAGAUGAGUAUGCGUCCCAUUAGCUAGAUGGUAAGGUAACGGCUUACCAUGGCAACGAUGGGUAGGGGUCCUGAGAGGGAGAUCCCCCACACUGGUACUGAGACACGGACCAGACUCCUACGGGAGGCAGCAGUGAGGAAUAUUGGACAAUGGGCGCAAGCCUGAUCCAGCCAUGCCACGUGCAGGAAGACGGUCCUAUGGAUUGUAAACUGCUUUUAUACAGGAAGAAACACACCCUCGUGAGGGUACUUGACGGUACUGUAUGAAUAAGCAUCGGCUAACUCCGUG
RNAcentral lists this ribosomal RNA (483 nucleotides) under uncultured bacterium. RNAcentral describes it as "bacterial SSU rRNA". It matches the Rfam family "Bacterial small subunit ribosomal RNA", at positions 23 to 507 of the family's 1533-position model. The record is from RNAcentral.